GAUGAACGCUGGCGGCGUGCUUAACACAUGCCAGUCGAACGGGAAACCUUUUAUUGAAGCUUCGGCAGAUUUAGCUGGUUUCUAGUGGCGGACGGGUGAGUAACGCGUGGGUAACCUGCCUUAUACAGGGGGAUAACAACCAGAAAUGGUUGCUAAUACCGCAUAAGCGCACAGGACCGCAUGGUCCGGUGUGAAAAACUCCGGUGGUAUAAGAUGGACCCGCGUUGGAUUAGCUAGUUGGCAGGGUAACGGCCUACCAAGGCGACGAUCCAUAGCCGGCCUGAGAGGGUGAACGGCCACAUUGGGACUGAGACACGGCCCAGACUCCUACGGGAGGCAGCAGUGGGGAAUAUUGCACAAUGGGGGAAACCCUGAUGCAGCGACGCCGCGUGAAGGAAGAAGUAUCUCGGUAUGUAAACUUCUAUCAGCAGGGAAGAUAGUGACGCUACCUGACUAAGAAGCCCCGGCUAACUACGUG
RNAcentral lists this ribosomal RNA (478 nucleotides) under uncultured bacterium. RNAcentral's name for it is "partial 16S ribosomal RNA". It matches the Rfam family "Bacterial small subunit ribosomal RNA", at positions 28 to 507 of the family's 1533-position model. The record is from RNAcentral.